CAGGGUUCCCUUGGGGCAGUGCUUCUCAGCACCUGGCACACCCCCAUCACUAAAAAGUUCAAAACCAUCCCCAAAAACAGUGUUGGCUGCAAAUGACUGUUUUUCUGCUUCCUGAGGCUGACCAAGCCAAAUGUGGUCUGCUGUUCAAAUGCACUUUGUCCCCAACCCCUUGCUUCCUCAGCAGAGGUGCUGCCACACUGCUACUGCUGCCAGCAAAGAAGUCAGGUCUAGAAGUCAUGGAGCCUCACAGAGAUGCUUUAACACAACAGCAGGGCACAGCUGGAAGGCACCUGGGUCCUGCAAAAACAUCUGGGGGCCAUUUUGUCAUUGAACAGCUGUGCUGGGAGGUGUGCCGGAGAGAUCUGCCUCUGAGCACCUUUUAGACUAGCGUCUGUGCUGGGAUGGAUCAUCAGAAACUCACCGUUAGGCAGGAACAUGCAAAUGCGAAGACUGGAUGGAAGCACACAGACCACGUGUUGCAAAACUGUAGUCUGGUUCCUCGGCUUCUGACAAGCAGGCAGAAAAAAGAACAAGUGGGGAAAAUCCUUGUAUUCACUACCUUGCAGCAAGCCUUUUGUGUGUGGAGAGCGAGCACCGUUGCGCUGAAAGUGCUGGUAUUGAUGAAGGGUUUGGGAUGGGUUUGGGGCUGGGACUCAGCUGCCUGGUGGCAGAAAGCUGGCCAGGAAGGAGACCCACAGUUAUGGUGGGCAGGGAACUGGAUGUGAGGUUUAACAAAACAGGUCAGUGUCACCUGGAGACUUUGUGUGCAAGGGAAUCUCCCUCUAUGAGUGAGAAAGCAUGACCCAUCCCUGCUCUGUACAUUGUGUACUGAAUAAGGCUCUCCAUGACACUUUCACACCACUUGACAACACGAAAAGUGCUUUUAAAAGAGAGAAAACAGCCCAGGGAGAACAGCCUUUCCAGAGAGCCCUCCUCAUCUGCUCAGGAAUGGUCAAAGGACCCACAGAAGCUCUGCCCUGGUGAAUGGGGCAGGGAUUGAAUUGGAGCCCAGCAUAAAUUGCUCUUCAGUUAGCAUGGUCCCACAGGCUCAGGGUGACUUUUGGGAAGAUGACAGCCAUCAUGCUGUCCAUCUCAGUGGGAUGCUCCCCACAGCCCUGCAGUAGAGGAGCCACUGUAGUGAUUUGUUCUCCCCUUUUAAGAACCAAACACUGCAUACGUCCCAGCUGGCAAAGACAAACUAGAUCAUUAAGACAAUUGAAACUGUGUGGGUACAGAGAAACAAAUGAAAAAAUGAGUCUGAGAUGCAUUCACAUUUUGCACAUUUAAUGGGAUAAACCCCCAAGCCUAUAAUAUUAAAUCAGAAUGUCAAAGAGAGAGCUUAUGUUAAUUUAAUUAAAGACAGCAUCCUGGUGCACAUGGAUAAGGAGCAGAAUUAAUAUUGUGCACCACCCACUAAUUUUGCCUGCCAUGGGUUGUACAUAGCCUGGAUGUCCUGAUGUGCUCACAGCUCUGUUAAUCUGGACAGGGUGAGUAUCCCCCUGCCACUCUGCCAAAACUGGGCAGGGUUGAAUUUUAUUCUUCUCAUUUCCAAACCUGUCAAACUGUGCGUGAAUAUUACCAAUGGCACAAACCUAAGCACUAAUUCAUCUGUCUGUGCUGGAGAGGUGGGAGUCCUUGCCUGCCUUCACUUCCAGUGGGGCAAAAGAGAGGAAUUCCUCAAAGAUGCCUGGCAGUAAGUGGUAUGGACAUCCCUCUACCCUUUGUACAUCUUCAGUCCUACCAGCUCGCAUGUUUACCUCACCUCCUUAUGUGCUGGACCCUGGCAAAAAAUAGCUGAUUCUUCAGGAAAUUGCCUCUAGGCCUAACUCAAACUCAGCCAAGCUAAUAGGAGCCUUCUGGUGGCUCUGAAAGGGUAUGGAUCAAAUGGUUUGCUUGUCACAGAGUAGGAUGCAGAAAAGAGCUCAUGGCUUUGUGCAACAUGUGUUGUGCAGAACCUGAAAAACAUUGUUAAGGUCCCUGAAAGUUUCCUGGCAGCACCAAAAGCUGU
Anas platyrhynchos (mallard) is the source of this 2008-nucleotide long non-coding RNA. RefSeq lists it as uncharacterized. The record is from RefSeq and is a predicted model, not a curated record. Lineage: Eukaryota; Metazoa; Chordata; Aves; Anseriformes; Anatidae.